This 253-nucleotide ribosomal RNA is filed under the name uncultured bacterium. Its description in RNAcentral is "partial 16S ribosomal RNA". It matches the Rfam family "Bacterial small subunit ribosomal RNA", at positions 524 to 776 of the family's 1533-position model. The record is from RNAcentral.
UACGGAGGAUGCAAGCGUUAUCCGGAAUGAUUGGGCGUAAAGCGUCCGCAGGUGGCCAUGUAAGUCUGCUGUCAAAGCGUCUGGCUCAACCAGAUAAAGGCAGUGGAAACUACAUAGCUAGAGUAAGGUAGGGGUAGAGGGAAUUCCUGGUGUAGCGGUGAAAUGCGUAGAGAUCAGGAAGAACACCGGUGGCGAAAGCGCUCUGCUGGGCCUUAACUGACACUGAGGGACGAAAGCUAGGGGAGCGAAUGGG